CAUUCCUACGGGAGGCAGCAGUGAGGAGUAUUGGUCAAUGGUCGGGAGACUGAACCAGCCAAGCCGCGUGAGGGAGGAAGGUACAGAGUAUCGUAAACCUCUUUUGUCAGGGAACAAAGGCGGGGACGUGUCCCCGGAUGAGUGUACCUGAAGAAAAAGCAUCGGCUAACUCCGUGCCAGCAGCCGCGGUAAUACGGAGGAUGCGAGCGUUAUCCGGAUUUACUGGGUGUAAAGGGAGUGUAGGCGGGAAAGCAAGUCAGAAGUGAAA
RNAcentral lists this ribosomal RNA (268 nucleotides) under uncultured bacterium. RNAcentral's name for it is "partial 16S ribosomal RNA". It matches the Rfam family "Bacterial small subunit ribosomal RNA", at positions 334 to 599 of the family's 1533-position model. The record is from RNAcentral.